CACGUAGGGCGCGAGCGUUGUCCGGAAUUAUUGGGCGUAAAGAGCUCGUAGGCGGCCUGUUACGUCUGCUGUGAAAUCCCGGGGCUUAACCCCGGGCGUGCAGUGGAUACGGGCAGGCUGGAGGCAGGCAGGGGAGAACGGAAUUCCCGGUGUAGCGGUGAAAUGCGCAGAUAUCGGGAGGAACACCGGUGGCGAAGGCGGUUCUCUGGGCCUGUACUGACGCUGAGACGCGAAAGCGUGGGGAGCGAACAGG
This 253-nucleotide ribosomal RNA is filed under the name uncultured bacterium. RNAcentral's name for it is "partial 16S ribosomal RNA". It matches the Rfam family "Bacterial small subunit ribosomal RNA", at positions 524 to 776 of the family's 1533-position model. The record is from RNAcentral.